Long non-coding RNA from Nannospalax galili (Upper Galilee mountains blind mole rat), 1054 nucleotides. RefSeq lists it as uncharacterized. Lineage: Eukaryota; Metazoa; Chordata; Mammalia; Rodentia; Spalacidae. The record is from RefSeq and is a predicted model, not a curated record. The transcript is spliced from 10 exons.
GCGGGUUCGAGUUUUAUUGUUAGAAGGCCGCCUGAGCAGGGCUUGUUCCAGGCCUGCCCCUGGGUAACCUAUCUGGUGGCCUGGGCAAGGAGGCCUCGCUUCGGGUCUUCGAAGCCCGGAAGCGUCAGGGGUUUGUAAGGGUCAAAGUGGUGGUGGCGGCCGUGCCAGCGGGCCUUCCCCUGUGAUGAGGACUUUUUCACAGACCUGUACUGAGUUCCGUGAGGAUGACUAACUCUGAGGAGAGGCCUCCAACUCUUGCUCCAGCAAAGUGUUUCCGAAAUACCCGUUCUUAAUUCUGAAUCGUGUUUGCAGGUUUGGGGCGCGCGUUUGAAUAUGGAAGGGUGGUGGUGCUCCGUCCCUGGAAUGUUAGUUUCAAAGGAAGUCGCGGUUUGGAGAGAGAGAGUUGAGGUUCAUCUUAGAGUUGCAGUGUUACACUGCAGUGUCCUCUAACGAGUCCUAAGGAACUCAGACCUCCCCAGAUGAGAACAGGUUUAUCGGGGUGAUGAUUUAUCUGUUAAGUAAGAUGUUUGGGUACAGAUUUCCAGGAUCAAACUUUUGAAGAGGAUUAAAGAGGAGGCGUUUGUUCAAGAUAACCAUAGGAGUCCUCCAGCAUUCAGAGGUGUUACCACCAGUACCAUGCUUGUUGGCUCAGGUCUAGUGUCUUCCCUAGAAUCGAGGUGACACAAGGGAUAAGUCCUGAUUCCUGAUCUUAUGCCAUAUCAUGACUCACCUCAGACUGAGAUAAGGUCUGAGGAAAGAAGAAUGCUAUCUCAAGGCUCAUGAGUUGGGUGUGGUGGUGCCUGUCCCAGCAGAGGCAGGCAGAUCUGAGAUCAAAGCCGGCUGGGAUUACGGGACGAUCCUGUCUCAAAAAAUUGAAACAGGUCAUUAAUGCUACUUUAAAAGUGUAGUGACCCUUGUGUUACAUAUGUGUGCUUUCCCUAAGAACUCUACUUUUACAAGAGUCCCAAGUCUUCAAAAGACAUUUCAGAUCUUGGAAACUUAGCCAUUCAGGAUUGUGAUCAUUUUCCUAAUAAAGCAGUUCUUUAACUUUUAA